RNAcentral lists this ribosomal RNA (271 nucleotides) under uncultured bacterium. RNAcentral's name for it is "partial 16S ribosomal RNA". It matches the Rfam family "Bacterial small subunit ribosomal RNA", at positions 524 to 794 of the family's 1533-position model. The record is from RNAcentral.
GACGUAGGAUGCAAGCGUUGUCCGGAAUUAUUGGGCGUAAAGAGUUCGUAGAUGGCUAAACAAGUCUAAUGUUAAAUCAUAGAGCUUAACUCUAUUUCUGCAUUGGAAACUGAUUAGCUAGAGCAAGGUAGGGGUCAGAGGAAUUCCUGGUGUAGCGGUGAAAUGCGUAGAUAUCAGGAGGAACACCAGUAGCGAAGGCGGCUCCCUGGGCCAUUCCUGACGCUGAGAUGCGAAAGCUAGGGGAGCGAACAGGAUUAGAUACCCCAGUAGU